GGUGGUGUUGGCCAGGUGGUAACGUCACCAAAUUAUCAUACCGGGGAUGUGGGUUCGAAUCCCACCACCACCG
This 73-nucleotide transfer RNA is filed under the name Echinostoma caproni. It matches the Rfam family "tRNA". Rfam says of the family: Transfer RNA (tRNA) molecules are approximately 80 nucleotides in length. Their secondary structure includes four short double-helical elements and three loops (D, anti-codon, and T loops). Further hydrogen bonds mediate the characteristic L-shaped molecular structure. tRNAs have two regions of fundamental functional importance: the anti-codon, which is responsible for specific mRNA codon recognition, and the 3' end, to which the tRNAs corresponding amino acid is attached (by aminoacyl-tRNA synthetases). tRNAs cope with the degeneracy of the genetic code in two manners: having more than one tRNA (with a specific anti-codon) for a particular amino acid; and 'wobble' base-pairing, i.e. permitting non-standard base-pairing at the 3rd anti-codon position. The record is from Rfam by way of RNAcentral. Lineage: Eukaryota; Metazoa; Platyhelminthes; Trematoda; Plagiorchiida; Echinostomatidae.